AUUAAACGCUGGCGGCAUGCCUUACACAUGCAAGUCGAACGGUAGCGCGGGGCAACCUGGCGACGAGUGGCGAACGGGUGAGUAAAGCAUCGGAACGUGCCCUGGAAUGGGGGAUAACGUAGCGAAAGUUACGCUAAUACCGCAUAUUCUGUGAGCAGGAAAGCAGGGGAUCGCAAGACCUUGCGUUCUGGGAGCGGCCGAUGUCGGAUUAGCUAGUUGGUGGGUAAAAGCCUACCAAGGCGACGAUCCGUAGCGGGUCUGAGAGGAUGAUCCGCCACACUGGGACUGAGACACGGCCCAGACUCCUACGGGAGGCAGCAGUGGGGAAUUUUGGACAAUGGGCGGAAGCCUGAUCCAGCCAUGCCGCGUGAGUGAAGAAGGCC
Molecule: ribosomal RNA, 383 nt
Filed under: uncultured bacterium
Lineage: Bacteria
Description: bacterial SSU rRNA
Rfam family: Bacterial small subunit ribosomal RNA
Source: RNAcentral